UGAAGAUGUCCCCACAGAUUAGGA
This 24-nucleotide non-coding RNA is filed under the name Rattus norvegicus (Norway rat). Lineage: Eukaryota; Metazoa; Chordata; Mammalia; Rodentia; Muridae. The record is from RNAcentral.